AUUGAACGCUGGCGGCAUGCUUUACACAUGCAAGUCGAACGGUAACGGGCCUUCGGGUGCUGACGAGUGGCGAACGGGUGAGUAAUGCAUCGGAACGUACCCAGAGGUGGGGGAUAACGCAGCGAAAGCUGUGCUAAUACCGCAUGUGAUCUGAGGAUGAAAGCGGGGGACCGAGCAGCAAUGUUUGGCCUCGCGCCUUUGGAGCGGCCGAUGUCGGAUUAGCUAGUUGGUGGGGUAAAGGCCUACCAAGGCGACGAUCCGUAGCUGGUCUGAGAGGACGACCAGCCACACUGGAACUGAGACACGGCCCAGACUCCUACGGGAGGCAGCAGUGGGGAAUUUUGGACAAUGGGCGCAAGCCUGAUCCAGCAAUGCCGCGUGCGGGAAGAAGGCCUUCGGGUUGUAAACCGCUUUUGGCAGGAACGAAACGGUGUCCGCUAAUACCGGGCGCUAAUGACGGUACCUGCAGAAUAAGCACCGGCUAACUACGUG
RNAcentral lists this ribosomal RNA (492 nucleotides) under uncultured bacterium. Its description in RNAcentral is "partial 16S ribosomal RNA". It matches the Rfam family "Bacterial small subunit ribosomal RNA", at positions 29 to 507 of the family's 1533-position model. The record is from RNAcentral.